ACGCUCGACACCUACGGAGGCAGCAGUGGGGAAUAUUGCACAAUGGGGGGAACCCUGAUGCAGCGACGCCGCGUGAGUGAAGAAGUACUUCGGUAUGUAAAGCUCUAUCAGCAGGGAANAAAAUGACGGUACCUGACUAAGAAGCCCCGGCUAACUACGUGCCAGUAGCCGCGGUAAUCUGAGCGGGCUGGCAAGGC
Molecule: ribosomal RNA, 197 nt
Filed under: uncultured bacterium
Lineage: Bacteria
Description: partial 16S ribosomal RNA
Rfam family: Bacterial small subunit ribosomal RNA
Source: RNAcentral